Ipomoea nil (Japanese morning glory) is the source of this 141-nucleotide long non-coding RNA. RefSeq lists it as uncharacterized. NCBI's taxonomy places the organism in Eukaryota, Viridiplantae, Streptophyta, Magnoliopsida, Solanales, Convolvulaceae. The transcript has 3 exons. The record is from RefSeq and is a predicted model, not a curated record.
AAGAUCAAGAUGUUCAAGCUCCUCUAAACGGGUGAACAAUGACUCAGGAAUUGAUCCAUUCAAAUUGCUUUCAGACAAAUCAAGAUAAGUUAGGUUCCUACACCCUAAUAUGAAAUCAGGGAACCUUGAUUGGCUAUACCA